CCUGACUGCUAUCGGAUUGAUACUAAGCCAUGCGAGUCAUUGUAGCAAUACAAGGCAGACGGCUCAGUAACGCGUAGUCAACCUAACCUAUGGACGGGAAUAACCUCGGGAAACUGAGAAUAAUGCCCGAUAGAACACUAUGCCUGGAAUGGUUUGUGUUCCAAAUGAUUUAUCGCCGUAGGAUGGGACUGCGGCCUAUCAGUUUGUUGGUGAGGUAAUGGCCCACCAAGACUAUUACAGGUACGGGCUCUGAGAGGAGUGGCCCGGAGAUGGGUACUGAGACACGGACCCAGGCCCUAUGGGGCGCAGCAGGCGAGAAAACUUUGCAAUGUGCGAAAGCACGACAAGGUUAAUCCGAGUGGUUUCUGCUAAAGGAACCUUUUGUCGGUCCUAGAAACACCGAUGAAUAAGGGGUGGGCAAGUUCUGGUGUCAGCCGCCGCGGUAAAACCAGCACCUCAAGUGGUCAGGAUGAUUAUUGGGCCUAAAGCAUCCGUAGCCUGCUUUGUUAGUUUUCGGUUAAAUCUGUACGCUCAACGUACAGGCUGCCGGGAAUACUGCAAAGCUAGGGAGUGGGAGAGGUAGACGGUACUCGGUAGGAAGGGGUAAAAUCCUUUGAUCUAUUGAUGACCACCUGUGGCGAAGGCGGUCUACCAGAACACGUCCGACGGUGAGGGAUGAAAGCUGGGGGAGCAAACCGGAUUAGAUACCCGGGUAGUCCCAGCUGUAAACCAUGCAAACUCAGUGAUGCAUUGGCUUGUGGCCAAUGCAGUGUUGCAGGGAAGCCGUUAAGUUUGCCGCCUGGGAAGUACGUACGCAAGUAUGAAACUUAAAGGAAUUGGCGGGGGAGCACCACAAGGGGUGAAGCCUGCGGUUC
Molecule: ribosomal RNA, 875 nt
Filed under: uncultured marine group I thaumarchaeote
Lineage: Archaea; Thermoproteati; Nitrososphaerota
Description: bacterial SSU rRNA
Rfam family: Archaeal small subunit ribosomal RNA
Source: RNAcentral